UUACACGACCGUACCGCAAACCGACACUGGUGCGCGAGAUGAGUAUUCUAAGGCGCUUGAGAGAACUCGGGAGAAGGAACUCGGCAAAUUGACACCGUAACUUCGGAAGAAGGUGUGCCUUUAGUAGGUGAAGGGAUUUACUCCUGGAGCCCAAUGAGGUUGCAAAAAAUCGGUGGCUGCGACUGUUUAUUAAAAACACAGCACUCUGCAAACACGAAAGUGGACGUAUAGGGUGUGACGCCUGCCCGGUGCUGGAAGAUUAAAUGAUGGGGUGCAAGCUCUUGAUUGAAGUCCCAGUAAACGGCGGCCGUAACAAUAACGGUCCUAAGGUAGCGAAAUUCCUUGUCGGGUAAGUUCCGACCUGCACGAAUGGCGUAACGAUGGCCACACUGUCUCCUCCCGAGACUCAGCGAAGUUGAAAUGUUUGUGAUGAUGCAAUCUCCCCGCGGAAAGACGGAAAGACCCCAUGAACCUUUACUGUAGCUUUGUAUUGGACUUUGAACAGAUCUGUGUAGGAUAGGUGGGAGGCUUUGAAGCAGGGUCGCUAGAUCUUGUGGAGCCAACGUUGAAAUACCACCCUGGUGUGUUUGAGGUUCUAACCUAGGUCCAUUAUCUGGAUCGGGGACAGUGCAUGGUAGGCAGUUUGACUGGGGCGGUCUCCUCCCAAAGCGUAACGGAGGAGUUCGAAGGUACGCUAGGUACGGUCGGACAUCGUGCUAAUGGUGCAAUGGCAUAAGCGUGCUUAACUGCGAGACUGACAAGUCGAGCAGAUGCGAAAGCAGGACAUAGUGAUCCGGUGGUUCUGUAUGGAAGGGCCAUCGCUCAACGGAUAAAAGGUACUCUGGGGAUAACAGGCUGAUACCGCCCAAGAGUUCAUAUCGACGGCGGUGUUUGGCACCUCGAUGUCGGCUCAUCUCAUCCUGGGGCUGUAGCCGGUCCCAAGGGUAUGGCUGUUCGCCAUUUAAAGAGGUACGUGAGCUGGGUUUAAAACGUCGUGAGACAGUUUGGUCCCUAUCUUCCGUGGGCGCUGCAGAUUUGAGGAAGCCUGCUCCUAGUACGAGAGGACCGGAGUGGACGCACCUCUGGUGUAUCGGUUGUCACGCCAGUGGCAUUGCCGAGUAGCUAUGUGCGGAAGAGAUAACCGCUGAAAGCAUCUAAGCGGGAAACUCGUUUCAAGAUGAGAUCUGCCGGGGCCUUGAGCCCCCUAAAGAGUCGUUCAAGACCAGGACGUUGAUAGGUCAGGUGUGGAAGCGCAGUAAUGCGUUAAGCUAACUGAUACUAAUUGCUCGUGCGGCUUGACCCU
RNAcentral lists this ribosomal RNA (1303 nucleotides) under metagenome. Its description in RNAcentral is "bacterial LSU rRNA". It matches the Rfam family "Bacterial large subunit ribosomal RNA", at positions 1634 to 2925 of the family's 2925-position model. The record is from RNAcentral.